RNAcentral lists this long non-coding RNA (6937 nucleotides) under Ananas comosus (pineapple). Its description in RNAcentral is "long non-coding RNA (ACOM_LNC033030)". Lineage: Eukaryota; Viridiplantae; Streptophyta; Magnoliopsida; Poales; Bromeliaceae. The record is from RNAcentral.
GCUAGAGAAAACAGAAGCUAAACAAGCUGAGUUUCAUAUACAUAGUCAAUAUCCAAAACAGAGCUACUCGCACUGCGAGUUAAGUCAACUAUGUACAUAAACUCGAAACAAAACAUCUACCUGCGGUAGGGGCACCUCUAGCUCAGCACGUCGAGUAGGGCUCUAACUCGCGACGCCCUUGCCUCGAUCCUGGUCCGCGACGGGCAGCAGCCGGAACCUGUGGCUCUGCAAAAACAUAGGUAACAACUGGGCGUGAGAACUACUGUAAAAACAAGUAGUCCUCAGUGGGUACCGCCCAAAACAACAUCGGUCCACCCACUAAGUCUACAGAAGGGAGCAACAGUAGUCAGAAAAGCAGGAAAUAAACUCUACCGCUAUCGAUCACUACACUAUCAUGCUCUACACUAACCAACUGUAGGAAAUAUCAACUCUGACCCAAUCGAAUCGGAACUGUAAGCAUAUCCGUCCCCGGACUGUGAAUACACCGUCCCUGCCCGUUGCGACUAUCGGGCUCUAUCACACUAACUGGUCGUAGAGAGCAAGUCAACUGGCAUGAGCGACACCAACGCGAAAGCAAAAGCUGACUUCCGGAGUAGCAUCGUGGGCGCUACCAACCGAGUAUGCCAGCGUAUCUCUGUCGAGCUCAAACAGGCUCUGAAAAGCCAAAGUCAAGAAAUCGACUCUAACUGGUCUAACAACCAACAAGUAACGUGCCCUCAGUACAAUCUGACGCCAAAAAGGCGAUACGGGUCCACCGUCACUCUGACGGCACCCCACAGUCCGGAACAACCUGAACAACACUGUAAAAAUCCACUCGGCAUACCAGCACGAGCGUAAAUGUCUACUAAACCACCUGGAGUACUCGUCUCGAGGAUACUGCGACAGUACAAUUUAAUAACGGCUCCUAGAACUAAAUCAGGCAGUUUAAUCAAGUGACAUGUCCAAAUCGCAAGUUUUCUCCUAAUUCAAUUUUCAAGUCCAACAUGUAUAACCUAUUCAAUUUAUUACCACAUGCUCCAAAUUCAGAUAUGCAAUCUACCAUUUAAUCCAUGAAUUCGAGUUAGAAUAGAUUAUCCAAAAAUUGAAAACUAUACAUGUCGACGAUUAGAACUAAGGAGUCAAAACCGAUGUAACCCACCUCGAUUGCUAAUUCCUGGCAGCACGGAACUCCCUUCGGCUGCGGAACAACCUGCCGAAACGUCCGAAAACCUCCCAAGGCCCGAAGUCAAGCUCCCGCCAAACUCUACACGGAGAAUCCGACAAUAAACAUUAAUUUUGCCUCCAAAAAUAGCAACAGAGAAGAGCGAAAUUCUGACCUAGCAAACCUUUACCAAAUCCAGCAAGUAAGGGCUUCAUGGAUUCCUCUCGAAGUCCCGAAUCCAACAAACCAAGUCCCGUCGAAAACCGACGCUCCUACGCCGAGUACGAAUUGAAAUACCGACGGUCGACGCUGGAAAUUCUGCAAAUCAGCACCAAGCUCGAAAUGAUAAUACUUGAAGCAAUGCAACGGAACACUCACCUCAAUGGCUAAUCGGACAUCGACGUGGCGUCGAGAACGGCGAAAACACACCCUCGCCUAGCUUCCUCGCAGCGCUACGAUCCCAGCCGUACCCUCGAACGGCUUCGCGGCGCGUCGUCAGCGUCGAAUCCGAGCUCCUCGGCACCUCUACCCGUGCUCUCCACCAUGCACGUAAUUAACUAGAGAGAACAAAAAGUGCACACUCUCUGUUAAUUUGAAGGGAUAAACAUGAAAAGGGCGGUGGCAUUCUUAUCCAAAAAAAAUGACCACUAUGCCCCUUGACCAACUCAAAAUGAAGGGUAUUACAUCCUCCCCCACUAUAAAAAGUUUCGUCCUCGAAACUUAAAACAUACCUCAAACCUGAAUCUCGAACAAGUAGGGAUAGGACUCCCGCAUCACCAUCUCAGGCUCCCAAGUCGCCUCUCGUUCCUCGUGAUUGCUCCACUGCACUUUCACAUACGGGAUGAUCCGGUUGCGCAAUUCUUUCGUCUCCCGAGCAAGAAUCCGCAACGGUCGCUCCUCGUAUCUCAGAUCCUCGCCAAUCUCUAGUGGAGUGAACUCAAUCACGUGAGAGGGAUUGAAAACAUAUCUCCUCAACGCCGAGACGUGGAACACAUCAUGAAUCCCAGCAAGUCGGGAUGGUAGAGCAAUCCUGUAGGCUACUGGUCUGACUCGUUCCAAUACCUCGAAAGGGCCAACAAACCGUGGACCAAGCUUUCCACAUAUUCCAAAUCGACGAAUCCCUCUGGACGGGGAGACUUUGAGAAAAACAUAAUCUCCAACCUGAAACUCUAAGUCUCGUCUCCUGGUAUCGGCGUAGCUCCUCUGGCGGCUCUGAGCUGUCAAAAGGUAUCGUCGAGUGACUCUCACCUUUUCCUCAGCCUCCAGCAAAGUCUCAAGCCCCAAUGUCCUCCUCUCACCUAUAUCGCUCCAAAACAAAGGGGAUCGACAUCUGCAUCUAUACAACGCCUCAAACGGAGCCAUCUGGAUGCUCGUUUGAUAGCUGUUGUUGUACGCAAACUCAACCAGUCUCAAAUGUCGAUACCACCCUCCUCCAAAAUCCAGGACACAUGCCCUCAGCAUGUCCUCUAGAGUCUGAAUGGUUCGCUCUGACUGACCAUCUGUCUGUGGGUGAAAAGCAGUGCUGAAAUGUAACUGAGUCCCCAAAGUUGUCUGUAAACUCCUCCAGAAAUGCGACACAAACCUCGGGUCUCAGUCUAAUACAAUCGAUACUGACACGCCGUGCAGCCUGACGAUCUCAUCCAGAUAUAGCUACGCGAGUCUCUCUCUGGACCAGGUGGUCUGAACCGGUAAGAAGUGAUCAGACUUGGUCAGUCUGUCUACUAUCACCCAAAUCGCAUCAAAGCCACCCUGCGCUCUAGCCAAUCCCACGACAAAGUCUAUCGUAAUCUGCUCCCACUUCCACUCGGGCACUGGCAGACUCUGAAGCUUGCCAGCAAGUACCUGAUGCUCGGCCUUCACCUAUUGGCAAGUCAAACAUUGAGCCACAUAUCUGCCAAUGUCUCUCUCUUCAUUUCAUUCCACCAAAACUGUGCCUUUAAAUCCUUAUACAUCUUGGUUCUCCCAGGAUAAACCGUAUAAGGAGAACAAUGAGCCUCACUCAAGAUGUCCUCUCGGAUCUCUGAAUCCACCGGCACACAUAGUCGGUCCCUGUACCGUAGUACUCCCGAACUGUCCAUAGAAAAACCCUCAGCCUGUCCCCUAUGUAGCUGCUCUCGAAUCCUCGACAAGUACGGAUCUCCACUCUGUUUCUCUCGGAUCCUAUCCAACAGAGUGGGCUGCAAGACCAGAGACAUCAGUCUCGCAGUAUACCCAGGGGACACUAUCUCAAGCCUCAGCUACUGGAACUCCUCGAGUAAUGGCCUCUGCUCAGUGAUCAUCAAACUCAAGCUCUGCACUGACUUCCUGCUCAAUGCAUCUGCCACUACAUUCGCCCUGCCGGAAUGAUACUGAAUACUAAUGUCAUAGUCCUUCAGUAACUCCAACCACCGGCGCUGCCUCAAGUUCAGCUCCCUCUGUGUGAACAGAUACUUGAGACUUUUAUGAUCCGUGAAAAUCUCGCAGUGCUCGCCGUACAAGUAAUGUCGCCACAGCUUCAAAGCAAAAACCACCGCGGCAAGCUCCAAGUCAUGCGUAGGGUAAUUCUUCUCAUAAUCCUUUAACUGCCGUGAAGCAUAAGCAAUCACCCUACCAUGCUGCAUCAGCACGCAACCAAAUUCACUGUGCGAUGCAUCAUUGUAGAUCACAAAUCCUUCCCCCAUCACAGGAAGGGCAAGGAUCGGAGCUGACGUCAACCUCUGUCUCAACUCAUCAAAGCUCCUCAUGCUCAGCAUCGCUCCGGGAGUAAAUCAGGAUAUCGUCGAUGAAGACUACCACAAACCUGUCCAUGAACGGCUUGAACACUCUAUUCAUCAAAUCCAUGAAUGCGGCAGGAGCAUUCGUCAAUCCAAAAGGCAUCACCAUAAACUCAUAAUGCCCGUACUGAGUCCGAAAAGCCGUCUUGGGAACAUUCUCGGCCCUCACCCUCAACUUGUGAUAACCUGACUGGAUAUCAAUCUUCGAGAAGACAUAAGAUCCCUGCAGCUGAUCAAAUAAAUCAUCAAUGCACGGCAAGGGAUACUUAUUCUUGAUGGUCACUUUAUUCAGCUCCCGGUAAUCCACGCACAGCCUAAGUGAGCCAUCCUUCUUCUUCACAAACAACACCGGCGCUCCCCAAGGCAAAACACUGGGUCUCACAAACCCUCUAUCCAUCAAAUCCUGAAGUUGUGCCUUUAGCUCUCUCAGCUCUGCCGGCGCCAUCCGAUAAGGUACCUUUGAGAUUGGUGCAGUUCCAGGAACUAUAUCAAUCACAAACUCAAUCUCCCUCUUUGGCGGCAACAUCGUCAACUCAGGAAAAAAACACAUCUGGAAACUCGCGAACUACUAGGAUAUCCUCGAGUUUCGGCGCCGCCGUAGGUACCUCCACAACUGUCGCUAAGAAAGUGAUACACCCACUACUCAGCCUCUGUCGAGCUCUCGUCGAAGAUAUCCAGGUGGCAAACAACGUGCUCCUGCAGCCUCAGAAAGUGAACUCCUCCUGGCCUGGCUCGCGGAACGUCACCGUCUUCGCUCUACAGUCUAUCGUAGCAUAGUACCGCGCCAGCCAAUCCAUACCGAGCACGAUGUCGAAGUCCUGCAGCUGCCCUAACACCGACAGGUCUGCGGGCAUAAACAACGAAUCUAACUGCACCGGACACGACCAACAACACUCUGCAACCUGUAAAAUAUGGUCGGAGAUAUGCACCUCUCGUGCCAAAGACAAAGACCCUAACUCUGGACCAUGCAACAGUGCAAAUGCUCGGCUCACAAAAGAAUGGGAGGCAUCAGUAUCAACUAAAGUACGAGUACAUAUGCCAAAAAUCAAAGUGAUACUUGCCACUACACGAUCGGCUGCUGAAGAGUCCUCCCGGCGGUAACUCGGUGCUGCUCCAAAAGUCUGCUGGUCAGCUGGCUGCGCUGAUGCAAUGGAUAGUGCUGGAAAUGUCGCUCUAGCACACGUUGACCUCACAUGUCCUGGCUGUCCACAAGUGUAGCAGUGGCCCUCUUUCUGCUCACAUUGUCGGGGCCAGUGUGGUCCUCCACAAAUCACGCACCGCAGCGUCCUCGGUGACGGUCCCUGCUGAAGCAAUCCCUUGGAAUGCUGACGCCUCGAUAAACCACGACCCUGAGAGCAAGAUCGAGAAAGCCUCAGCGGACGUCUGCUACUCGCCUGUCCUCUAUCAUCUGGAAAAGGGCGCUUCCUAUCUUGGCUCUGCCCCGGUACCAUAGUCCGCUCCUGAACGGGUGUAACUCUGUGUCCCACCAAGAGUGCCUGCUGCACAGAUGCUCCUGUCUCAACGCCUGACCACUGAGUGACAAUCUCAUAAAUCCUCUGCAAUAGUACACUCUGCUGCUUGAUCACCUCUGUCAGGACAGCCAACUGUGCACUCAGAUAAGGGGAUGCGCUAGCCUCCGGUCGCACACUGGCUCCACAACAGGGGGUGCACUCGCCUCCGGUCUGUCACCCUGCUCCUGCCGAGUACUCUGCUCCAUCUGCUCAUGUCUCUCACGGGAUCCCGCACGAUCCCGCGCCAACUGGGCACGCUCUCGUAACGACGGUCGACCUCGGCGACGAUACACAGCUGAAAGGAACAAAUCGGGGUCAGAUACAACAAAACACUCUCGACCCAAUCAAAAGAAAGUCUGGAAGGCGGUCCCUGUUUUCCUCCAAAAUUAUGUCGUCUGCAGCCAACAUAAUUUCUCAGGCCAAAACAGGAACUCCUUCAGUCACUCACUCCACUCUAGGAGCAGUUAGAACAAACAAUCAUUGACUUUCGCAAUUAAAUUACGCAUCUCGCGUCUUGCUUUCCUAAGGUUUGCCAAACUUAGGUUUCCUAGGUCCCAACGACCUAUAGCAAAGCUCUGAUACCAACUUAAUCUGUCACGCCCCGGAUGUCUCGUUCCCCGGGCACGCCGACAAAUCCGCCGUAUACAAAGAAAUUUUCUCUGUAUACGAAGCGACAGCUGUACCUGUAAAUCAAACACUACUACGAACAGUAGUAGAGAGCUGCUAGAGAAAACAGAAGCUAAACAAGCUGAGUUUCAUAUACAUAGUCCAAAUCCAAAAUACAGAGCUACUCGCACUGGCGAGUUAAGUCAACUAUGUACAUAAACUCGAAACAAAACAUCUACCUGCGGUAGGGGCACCUCUAGCUCAGCACGUCGAGUAGGGCUCUAACUCGCGACGCCCUUGCCUCGAUCCAGGUCCGCGGACGGUGCAGCAGCCGGAACCUGUGGCUCUGCAAAACAUAGGUAACAACUGGGCGUGAGAACUACUGUAAAAGCAAGUAGUCCUCAGUGGGUACCGCCCAAAAAGAUAUCGGUCCACCCACCAAGUCUACAAAAGGGAGCAAGAGUAGUCAGAAAAAUAGAAAAUAAACUCUACCGCUAUCGAUCACUACACUAUCAUGCUCUACACUAACCAACUGUAGGAAAUGUCAACUCUAACCCAAUCCAAUCGGGACUGUAAGCAUACCCGUCCCCGGGACUGUGAAUACACCCGUCCCUGCCCCGUUGCGACUAUCAAGCUCUAUCCACACUAACUGGUCAGUGGAGAGCAAGUCCAACUGGCAUGAGCGACACCAACGCGAAAGCACAAGCCUGACUCCGGAGUGGCACUCGUGGGCGCUACCCAACCGAGUAUGCAGCGUAUCGCUGUCGAGCUCAAUCAGGCUCUGAAAAGCCAAAGUCAAGUAACCAACUCAACUGGUCUAAUAACCAACAGGUAACGUGCCUUCAGCACAAUCUGACGCCAAAAAGGCGAUACGGGUCCACCAUCAACUCUGACGGCACCCAACAGUCCGAAAUAAUCUGAACGAC